RNAcentral lists this ribosomal RNA (413 nucleotides) under uncultured bacterium. RNAcentral's name for it is "partial 16S ribosomal RNA". It matches the Rfam family "Bacterial small subunit ribosomal RNA", at positions 355 to 785 of the family's 1533-position model. The record is from RNAcentral.
UGGGGAAUAUUGGACAAUGGGGGCAACCCUGAUCCAGCAAUGCCGCGUGUGUGAAGAAGGUCUUCGGAUUGUAAAGCACUUUCGACGGGGACGAUGAUGACGGUACCCGUAGAAGAAGCCCCGGCUAACUUCGUGCCAGCAGCCGCGGUAAUACGAAGGGGGCUAGCGUUGCUCGGAAUGACUGGGCGUAAAGGGCGUGUAGGCGGUUUACACAGUCAGAUGUGAAAUCCCCGGGCUUAACCUGGGAGCUGCAUUUGAUACGUGUAGACUAGAGUGUGAGAGAGGGUUGUGGAAUUCCCAGUGUAGAGGUGAAAUUCGUAGAUAUUGGGAAGAACACCGGUGGCGAAGGCGGCAACCUGGCUCAUGACUGACGCUGAGGCGCGAAAGCGUGGGGAGCAAACAGGAUUAGAUAC